AAGGUAAUUAGGGUUUCGAUCUCCAAACCGCCCGUGAUUUAUAGCAAGAUUCUGAUGAUGAUCAGCAAGCGUUUGUUGUAUCAACUGAUAUAGAUGAUCUAUUGCUGCUGCUCUCGUUGUGUUGGAUUUUUGGGCGUGGCAAUUACCCACCUGUACCAGUGGCCCUCUUUCAUGGACUGGUUUUUGAAACUCAUACCUACCCUUUUCUUUCAUAGUUGCAGAAUUACAAGCCCAUGCACACAGAAAAUUAAAGGUGGCUGGUCCAUCAAAUAAGGAGUGGCUUGCGCCUACGCCCACUGAGUAGCCUCCACAGCCAAAUUUU
This 322-nucleotide unclassified non-coding RNA is filed under the name Hevea brasiliensis (rubber tree). The record is from RNAcentral. Lineage: Eukaryota; Viridiplantae; Streptophyta; Magnoliopsida; Malpighiales; Euphorbiaceae.